RNAcentral lists this ribosomal RNA (253 nucleotides) under uncultured bacterium. Its description in RNAcentral is "partial 16S ribosomal RNA". It matches the Rfam family "Bacterial small subunit ribosomal RNA", at positions 524 to 776 of the family's 1533-position model. The record is from RNAcentral.
GACAGAGGCCCCAAGCGUUAGGCGGAAUCACUGGGCUUAAAGCGUGUGUAGGCGGACGCCUAAGUGUCUUGUGAAAUCCCACGGCUCACCCGUGGAACUGCUGGGCAUACUGGGCGUCUUGGGCCAACUAGGGGCAGCCGGAACAAGCGGUGGAGCGGUGAAAUGCGUAGAUAUCGGGAGGAACACCUGUGGCGAAAGCGGCGCACUGGACCAUAACUGACGCUGAGGCGCGAAAGCUAGGGGAGCAAACAGG